CUACGGGAGGCAGCAGUGGGGAAUUUUGGACAAUGGGGGCAACCCUGAUCCAGCCAUGCCGCGUGAGUGAAGAAGGCCUUCGGGUUGUAAAGCUCUUUCAGUCGGGAAGAAAAGGUUACGACUAAUACUUGUAAUCCAUGACG
RNAcentral lists this ribosomal RNA (143 nucleotides) under uncultured bacterium. RNAcentral's name for it is "partial 16S ribosomal RNA". It matches the Rfam family "Bacterial small subunit ribosomal RNA", at positions 339 to 474 of the family's 1533-position model. The record is from RNAcentral.